RNAcentral lists this long non-coding RNA (268 nucleotides) under Calidris pygmaea (Spoon-billed sandpiper). RNAcentral's name for it is "lncRNA (ENSCPGG00000012912.1)". Lineage: Eukaryota; Metazoa; Chordata; Aves; Charadriiformes; Scolopacidae. The record is from RNAcentral.
AUAGAGCAGACGGAUAGAAAGGCUGCCUGGCAUCCUGGAAUACCUGGGGAAUUCCACUCAGAAAACAAACAUGUUACUCUUUAAUGUAGACUCACAUCUCAUUAUAAAAUCACAAGUGGAAUGAGACACACUUCGCCUUUGUAACUGUGUUGCCAGGAGGCAGACUUCAUCAAAUAAAUGGACAGACUAACACAGCUGCCAUAAUGUCAGCCAUUGGAAUUUCAUUAGCAAACACACACUUCUGAUGAGCAGAAUAACAAAUGAGAUA